Molecule: ribosomal RNA, 216 nt
Filed under: Triticum aestivum (bread wheat)
Lineage: Eukaryota; Viridiplantae; Streptophyta; Magnoliopsida; Poales; Poaceae
Description: partial small subunit ribosomal RNA
Source: RNAcentral
AUGAAAAUCUCUCAAGAUGCAAGCAUUGGAAAUGACCAAACGGUGAAGACUUAUUGGCAACGCAUCAAGGAGUACUUCGAUGAGUGCAACACAAGUGGUCACUUCCGUUCGAGCGACUCUCUACGCCAAUGUUGGUCCACCAUCAACGCCGAACGCCAAAAGUGGUUCGGUUGCUUGUCAAACGUUGCUCGCAUGAACCCAAGUGGUUGCUAUUAG